This is a non-coding RNA of Rattus norvegicus (Norway rat), 733 nucleotides long. Lineage: Eukaryota; Metazoa; Chordata; Mammalia; Rodentia; Muridae. The record is from RefSeq and is a predicted model, not a curated record.
CACUAGACAUACGGCGGACUGAAGACCUGGCUCUCCGCACCACAGAAACUUUGUGUAUCCAGGCAACAGUAGGGAGGUAGAAUGGUGGGAUGGGCAACCACCUGCUUCCACAGAGCUCAUGAGCUGUCAGGCCUUGGCCUGGGGAGCAGCUCCUCCCUGCCUCUCUGUCGAUUGCUUCACGCCUAUCUGGCUACGGAACAUUCCUCACAUUCUAGGAUCAAGAGGCAGAGUUUGGUUUUUGUGGUGGCUGUCAAGGUGGAGGAAGGCAGAGAGCAUCCCAUGAAUCAAGUUCUUGCUUCUUCCCCGAGUGCCAGCCGUUGGAAAAUAACCCCACCCAGGCUCGCUCUGUAAAGCCCUCCCUUGGCUUUCUGAUAAACCUGAAGAUAUGGGCUCAGAGUUUCACCUGAGCACCAGUCCCAGCCGUGAGCCCGCUCACCCAAGCCCUCAGCCUUGGUUCCCAAGGUGCUGUGCAGACCUGCACUUCCCACAUGAUGAACGGGAAAGCAAAACCCUUUAGGCUGCACAUGUGUACAAAAUCCAGCCGUACAUGGCAAAUGAAUGGAUACAUCUCCUGGUAGCUGGGUGUGCGGUAAGCAGGAGAACGCAAUUUGGAUGCACGAGCUGACACUCAAGCUCCCACAAAUGAAUAGAACACACAUGGGCAGAGUACAAACAUGAGAAGAGAGAUGACUGACAGAUCUAAAGACCUCUAAUAAAUUACUCGAUUCUUCCU